Myotis brandtii (Brandt's bat) is the source of this 4590-nucleotide RNA transcript. It is a transcript of the gene named phosphatase and actin regulator 1, with no coding region annotated. NCBI's taxonomy places the organism in Eukaryota, Metazoa, Chordata, Mammalia, Chiroptera, Vespertilionidae. The transcript is spliced from 16 exons. The record is from RefSeq and is a predicted model, not a curated record.
GAGGAUACAAGGAGACGGAGGCUGGCGUCACCUUCUGUUGCUAAGGCAAACAAGUGACUAUUGUGUCUUAAAACUCUGUUUUUGAAACAUCAAGGAUGGAUUAUCCCAAAAUGGAUUAUUUUCUGGAUGUCGACUCUGCUCACAGAUUCUUGGAUGUUGAGUCGGCUCACAGACUCUUGGAUGUCGAGUCGGCUCAAAGAUUCUUCUACAGUCAAGGAGCUCAAGCUCGCCGGGCGACCCUGCUCCUGCCUCCCACCUUAAUGGCGGCAUCUUCGGAGGAUGAUAUAGACCGGCGGCCCAUCAGGAGAGUCCGCUCCAAGAGUGACACGCCGUACCUCGCGGAGGCCAGGAUUUCCUUUAACCUGGGGGCAGCUGAGGAAGUGGAGAGGCUGGCGGCGAUGCGUUCUGACUCCCUCGUCCCAGGUACCCAUACCCCACCCAUCCGGAGGAGAAGUAAGUUUGCCAACCUGGGAAGGAUUUUCAAGCCUUGGAAAUGGAGGAAGAAGAAAAGCGAAAAGUUCAAGCACACAUCUGCAGCGCUGGAAAGGAAAAUAUCCAUGAGGCAAAGCAGAGAGGAGCUGAUAAAACGAGGAGUCUUGAAGGAAAUUUAUGACAAAGAUGGGGAGCUCUCCAUAUCCAAUGAGGAGGACUCCCUGGAAAACGGACAGUCCCUGAGCGCCAGCCAGCUGUCUCUGCCCGCCCUGUCCGAAAUGGAGCCGGUCCCGAUGCCCAGAGAUCCCUGCUCAUACGAGGUGCUCCAACCUUCAGACAUCAUGGAUGGGACAGUGUCUGAAGAGAGUCCCUCUGCCAGUGAGUCUGGAGUCCUCCUGUCCCAAGAUCCUUCAGCCAAACCAGUCCUGCUACUGCCCCCCAAAAAACCUGCUGCUUUCUCUGGAGACCAUGAAGAGACCCCAGUGAAGCAGCUGUCCCUCCUCAAGCAGCCCCCUGCCCUGCCUCCCAAACCCACAGCCAGGAUUGCCAACCACUUGACAGAUCCUGGAGCCCCUGUGAAAUUGCCUUGUCUGCCAGUGAAACUGUCACCUCCGCUACCUCCAAAGAAAGUCAUGAUCUGUAUGCCUGUAGGAGGGCCAGACCUCUCGCUGGCAUCCUACGCAGCCCAGAAGAGCGGCCAGCAGGGUGGGGCCCAGCACCACCACACGGUCCUGCCGUCCCAGAUCCAGCACCAGCUGCAGUAUGGCAGCCUUGGCCAGCACCACCCCUCCGCCAGCGGCUCCCUCCCCAUGCACCCCUCCAGCUGCAGGAUGAUAGACGAGCUGAAUAAGACGCUGGCUAUGACCAUGCAGAGGCUGGAAAGCUCUGAGCAGCGGGUCCCCUGCCCCACUUCUUACCACAGCUCCAGUUUGCACUCGGGUGACGGUAUCACAAAAGCAGGACCUCUGGGCCUUCCAGAAAUAAGACAAGUGCCAACUGUUGUGAUUGAAUGUGAUGACAAUAAAGAAAAUGUGCCUCAUGAAUCAGACUACGAAGACUCUUCCUGUCUCUACACAAGGGAAGAGGAGGAGGAGGAGGAAGACGAGGAUGACGACAGCUCAUUGUACACCAGCUCCCUGGCCAUGAAGGUGUGCCGGAAGGACUCCUUAGCCAUCAAACUCAGCAACAGGCCCUCCAAGCGAGAGCUAGAAGAAAAGAACAUCCUUCCCAGGCAGACGGAUGAAGAGAGGCUGGAGCUGAGGCAGCAGAUCGGCACCAAGCUCACCAGGCGGCUGAGCCAGAGGCCCACUGCAGAGGAGUUGGAGCAGAGGAACAUUUUGAAACCUCGGAACGAACAAGAGGAACAAGAGGAGAAAAGAGAGAUCAAGAGGAGGCUAACUCGAAAGCUUAGCCAGAGGCCCACCGUGGAAGAACUUCGGGAAAGGAAGAUCCUCAUCCGCUUCAGCGACUACGUGGAGGUGGCUGACGCCCAGGACUAUGACCGCAGGGCGGACAAGCCGUGGACCCGCCUCACCGCUGCCGACAAAGCUGCCAUUCGGAAGGAGCUGAAUGAAUUUAAAAGCACUGAGAUGGAAGUUCACGAGCUGAGUAGACAUCUAACAAGGUUUCACCGACCUUAACAGUCAAAUUCCUCUUGAGUGCUAUGCUGUCUUCAAAACAUAAAUUUAUAAGAACCAUAAGUGCUGGUAUUUAUUCACGUCCCAUCACGAUGUAAAUCUUCUGAACUGCCUUUUUUAAAAGAAGGAGAAGGAGAAGGAAAGGAAACACAAUCAGGAUUCUGUUUGAGAAACACGAUGGUCACCGCUCCGUGGUCAGAGCUGCUGGCACCGCCACGGAUCCUGAACCGUGCCCGUCCCCGGCAGGCCGAGAGCACCUGCGGCCUCGCGGAAGACUUUCAGCCCCGGUCCUCACUUAGGCUCCAGCGACCUUUCCUCAAAAGUACCUGUCACCUAAGUCCAAAGAAAGCUGAGGCAUUGGGCGUGGCCUGGGAAUGACUUUGAGAAGCAAAUCAUCUGGUUGGCCGAUUAGGCUUGGCUUCUGGUUUGGGGUCCCCUCAGGAGGAGGGUGCUGAGAGGGAGCACUGUCUCAGCUGCCCUGUCCACUCCCUCCAGCCACCCUCCUUCCAGUGAACAAAAGGGAAGAGCCCUUGUCUGGGUGACUGUCACACCCAUCCUGUCCCUCAGGCGGCGGAGCUGCCCUCGGGCAGCUCUGGGUUAGAAGGGGAGAGUUGUCACCUGCUCAUUUAACAGCCCAAUGUCACAGGUGAUCUGCACACAAACAGCCACUGCUAAGGUGUACCUAUGGCCUCGUGUAGGAGCGUAAGGACCACGUGGAGGGCAUAAAGGCUGGGGUGGGAACUCCGCUUGGCUGGUGGGCUUCAACUUCUCUGCCUGCCCCAGGGCUGGUGACCCUUUGACUCGGAAGUUAAUGGCUCCCGAGUACAGGCCCCCACACAUGUAGGCCAGAAACCAUUCCUGAAGGACCAGCCUUCCGGCCACUGACGGACUGGUACUCUAGAACGACGUGAUGGCCUUCCAGUCUCCUUUCUUUGCACUAAGGGGUUUCUGUGGGUUUGGCAGAGGCCAGAAUUGGGCAGCCAGCAGCCAUGUCCGCCUUGUGCUGUACUUCCCUGUUCAUGUUUCUCCAGGGGGAACCCUUCCUCCCUCGUGAUACUGGCAAGGGUGAUUGGAGAUGCAUCUCUAACUGCCCCCCUCACCUGGGACCACAGGAAGCAGUGCUCUGUUGACCGAGGGACCCCGAGGGUAGCACGUGCAGUGGGAGGAAGGAUGAGCCCCAAACCCUGAGAGUUUGACUUCUCUUUUGUGAGGCCCCGUGCAGCCCCUUUUUUCCUCCUGACAGAGCUCGUAAGGCCCCCAUCUCGAAGCUCUGCCUGGCCUCCCACAGUCAUUGUGGUCUCAGUUACCACAGUCUUUCCAGGUGAUGGUCCCCUCUCCACCACACGUGCCCACGAGUUAGAAGGAUGCCCGCUUGGCCUUCACAGCAAAGAGUUAACCAGUCCCCACCCCGACCUGCAACCUGCGUGGGAAGGGAGUUACUGCUGGGAUGCGCGCCCACCAGGGAGGCCGUUUACCUUCUGCCGGCAUCCACAGCGCCUGCGGCCAGCACCACCCAGGGCUGUGCGUGUGCGGGGGGCGCGGCAGUGCUUCAGGCAGUGCCCACCAGCCGCUGCACAGCUGUCCUGUGCUUUCCUCACAGCACCUGGAACAUGCCGCUGCCCAUCACUAGAUCCUUUUUUCUUUGCUGAAUCUUAAUAGUUCUUGACGCGGGUAGAAGUAUUGUUCAAGGGAAAUGUGUGGCUGUCAGCACUAUCUUCCCAAAAGGCUUCCUGACAUCUGAAUGUGCAGAUGGUGUGACGAAAGAUGUAGGGCUCUUUCGUUUGACUUCUCUGCAGCGGGCACAUGUUCUGGGCGGAGCUGCCUGCCUUGCCCAGAGCUGAGUCUGAGCUUCCUCUAAUGGGCUGCUGUGCUUCAGGCAACUGGCAGUGCCCGGCAGGAUGGGCAGGCCUUCCCCUGGCCCAGGAGCGAGUCCUAGGGGAACUCAUUCCAUGACCUGGACUCCUCCCACCAAGGCCAGUGGCUUCUCUGCUGGCCUUGCUUCUUGGGUCUUUCUGAUUCCCUGGGGACAUGAGGCCCAAAUCAAUUUCCCUGCAGCCCACCUGCCAGCCAGUAGUCCAGGUUUCUCCCCAAGUGCUCUACUGGGCAGUCCACUGUGCACGGAAGGAGUCGAACACGUCCCCCUUCUCCUCCUGCAGAGCACCGUCUUCCACUUGCAGGACUUAGGGUUGCACCUUCCAUGCCAGUGACAGCACCCACCCCAGAUGUGGGUGGUUUCAAACCCACUGUGUGUGGCUCAGCAACUUCUGUGGACCACAGCAUGGCCUCUCUGCUGUCCCUUUCCCUUCCUGAAAUCUUGAGGAAAUCUGUAGAAAUCCGUCCAAAUUUCUUUUUUGCCACAUUGUUCUGACAGUUGGAAAAUGUGUGUUAAUUCCCAAGAUGACAAAUCGACAUUAAUUAGAAGUGGGGGGUCAGAGAGAUGGCCUAGCUGGUUUACAAUGCUUUCUUUGUCUGAAAACGCUGCUGUUUUCAAGUAAAGGUUUAGUUUGUGUGUAUAAAUUUC